GGGUCGGUGGCGUAGUUGGUUAUCGCAUCUGUCUAACACGACGUUCACAGAAGGUCCUCAGUUCGAACCUGGGCCGACUCA
Amylocystis lapponica is the source of this 81-nucleotide non-coding RNA. The record is from the annotation of a GenBank genome assembly. Lineage: Eukaryota; Fungi; Basidiomycota; Agaricomycetes; Polyporales; Postiaceae.